RNAcentral lists this ribosomal RNA (253 nucleotides) under uncultured bacterium. RNAcentral describes it as "partial 16S ribosomal RNA". It matches the Rfam family "Bacterial small subunit ribosomal RNA", at positions 524 to 776 of the family's 1533-position model. The record is from RNAcentral.
UACGGAGGGUGCGAGCGUUGUCCGGAUUUAUUGGGUUUAAAGGGUGCGUAGGCGGCCGGCUAAGUCCGGGGUGAAAGCCCGUUGCUCAACAACGGAACUGCCCUGGAUACUGGCGGGCUUGAGUUCAGGCGAGGUUGGCGGAAUGGACGGAGUAGCGGUGAAAUGCAUAGAUACCGCACAGAACCCCGAUUGCGCAGGCAGCUGACUAGGCUGGUACUGACGCUGAGGCACGACAGCGUGGGGAGCGAACAGG